UCUGGACUGUAGGAGGGCCAGUCUUCGU
Molecule: small RNA, 28 nt
Filed under: Bombyx mori (domestic silkworm)
Lineage: Eukaryota; Metazoa; Arthropoda; Insecta; Lepidoptera; Bombycidae
Description: piRNA piR-bmo-2246606
Source: RNAcentral